GGUGAAGCUGAUUUAAUCAAGAAAACAAACCCCUCCCUAUGCUGAUGAAACAGUCGAAAUGGUUUUGGCUGAUAAGACUGUCAUAAAAUCCAUGCAUCAUGCAACAGAUCACACAUGUUUCGGAUCCAGCGAGACCUUAUGAUAGGAAAGUGGCGUGUGAUUGAAAACUUUAAGGUAUCCGGUGUGGGUAAAGGAAAAUACUCACCAUGCUAACUAUUAAAUAGAAUGUUUUAUACCUUUCAAAAUUUAAGGAUAUUUUAUUUAUAGUUUGUAUCAUGCUAACUAUUAGUUAUUUAUUUGAUCAUAAUUCCAAAUUCAACUUUAUGUUUCCUAUGUAUACUAUACGUACCUUAAAUUAUAUGUACACCGUCUGUUUUUUUUUAUAAUAGCAACAAUUAAUACAAACAAUCAAAAAAAUAUACGAAAAAAUUAAUACCCGCCCAACCGGGCGGGUCAAGAUCUAGUUAUUCAUUAUUUUAGAUGUUCAAUAAUAUCUUAGUGUAUUUUGGAUACAUAUAGGAAUUGAGAUCAUUGGAAUUUUGAAUGUUUCAGAUUUUGUCGGAUAUCCAUUUAGGUUCGGGUUCGGUCCGGAUAGUAUCCAUAACCCAAAAUAUCAUAAAACAAGAUCCAUUCAGUAUUUAUGUCGGGUUUGGAUCGGUUCGGAUUUAUUUUAAUCGGAUCAAGUUCGGUUUAUUUGCCAAGCCCUAGUUUUAACAUUGGUUGAUGCUUCCCUGCAGUUUCUUUGUUGAUUCUUUAAUUUUUAUUUAAGUCGAAUUUGAUAAAUAUUCAUCAAUACUUCUCUACAUCACUUAUCUUCUAUUUACAACACUGAGUUAAGUAAAUAUUUAAUAACAUGUCCUUUUAUUAUAAAAAUAAAUAACAAAAAUUUACAAGAGGAUAUUUAAAAAAAAAAAAAAUUGUUCAACUGAGACAUUUCAAUAAUUUUUAUUGUACUCGUUGUAAAAAAAUUCAGAAACAAAUUCACCUGAUUAAUAUUAGGCAAAUUGGGGGAUAUGGCAAGAAAAAAACGGUAAUUGACAGAUUAGCUAUUUUACCUAACGGACAGAUACACGGCGUCAUAUAUACAUAAUAAUACAUUACUAUCUUUUUAAUUAACCAGCUGCACCUGCUACAAAAAUUAAUUAAAAAAUAAUUUCUAAUUGCACAAAGGUAAAUCGUGUCUUCAUCCUAUUCACAUCUUCUCUUUCUCACUUUCUUCGGUAAUUUCUCGAAGUCGAAAGAUCUCUGCCUCCGAUCUGUUCCAACGCCUCGCCUCUGCUUGCAAUCCAAUUUUCAUGUCGGUCGCGGUUGGGUUGUGCGUUACGGUUUCGGCAGCGGGUAGUAACACAGCCGACCUCCCCAACUUUACCAACUCGAUUCUUUUCAGAUCUUUGACAGUCCCAUUAGUUCUCGGUGUUUCUUCGUCGAUUCUAGUUAUUAAAACUUCUUCUCUGCUUAUAUGAUUUUAUUUUGGGAUCCUCUCUGAUGUUCUUAUUAUAAGUUAUUCUUGAACUGGGAUUUUUGUCUCUGCGGUGCAUAGUUCAUGGUGUAGAAAUAUCAAUUUUUGUGUGGAAUAGCAUCUGCAAUAUAUAGAUGUUUCAUCGUAUGUACGUAUCAGUAUAUCUCGUUGCUAUAUGUCAUGUCAAAUGGAAUAGUAUAAGGUUCACAUUAUUCCAUGUUACAUGGAAUCUUACUUUUACAUCAUAUGUCUUUCCAUUCGUUAGCUAUUCAUAUUCGGUUUGACUCAUAAUCCAUUUCUAUAUUGAAUAUUACAGUGUGAACCGUCCUCAAUCUUUGCCUCUCUUACUUUUCAUUUUUUAGGUUUGGUAUGGACGAGUUAAGUAGAUUGUUUCAGGCUUUGAUGUCAAGUGGAUUUAAGUUUCUGGAGAUUUGGGUUGCCUAUGGUGGAUUGGAGUUUAUAUUUCCCUAACUUGAGUCUAGUGUUUAAUGUCAAGUGUUCUAUUACAAGCCCCAUUAGCUUUGUAUUUCAUGUUGCUUGUUCUAUUACCAUCCCCAUUAGUUUUGUAUUUCAUGUUGCUCAUGAGGAAUGUAAAUACAUGUCUCCAGUAUUAUGGCAGGUGGAUUUAAUUUUACAAAGAUUUCGGUUGCCUAUGUAUUGGGGUUUAUAUUUCUCUAAUUUGGGUUUAGUGUUUACUAUCAAGUGUUCUAUUAUCAUCCCCAUUAUCUUUGUAUUUCAUGUGGCUCAUGAGAAAUGUAAAUACAUGUCUCCAGUAUUAUGGCAGGUGGAUUUAAUUUCCUGAAGAUUUGAGUUGCCUAUGGAUUGGCUUUAUAUUUCCUUAAUUUGAGUUUAGUGUUUACUGUUAAGUGUUCUAUUACCAUUUCUAUUAACUUUGUAUUUCAUGUUGCUCAAUAUUGGCUCUAGUAUGCACAUAGUAUCAUUUUAAAUAGUACAUUGUAUAUAGUAUAGAAGUCUUUUCGUAAUGGACGGUGCAAAUGUGUAUGUAACCCUAUAACACAUAUUUAUAAUCAUUAACCUACAUCAUUGAAAUGUGUGUAUGGUUUAUAAAUCAGAGGUUAGGGUUUAGUAUUCCCAGUUAGGAUUUAGUAUUUCCUAAACAACUUUUGUAAUAUGGAAUAGAAUAUGUCGACUAUUCCGUAUAGAAUAGCUUUAUUCAUUUUUAUACUAUACAUAUGGAAUAUAAUACUACUUUUUCAGUUUAGUUUAUGUUGGUUUUAGGUUCAGGUUGGAUAAGAAGUACAUACUUCGAUGGCAGCAUAGAAGUUCAAAAAUGUUACUAUUAAAAUUAUUUACUGUCAAAAAUAUAAACUGUAAAAACAUUUCCUCUCCGUUCUUGUUAAAAAAAAAUUGUGUUUGUGGUUCUCAUCACGACACACAACGCAGGACGUCACAUACUAUCACUUGUAACUAGUUACCUGUUAAUAUAAGGAUCAAAACUGGAUAGUUUGUGUAUGAAAUGUCUAACACUAAAUAACGUCAAAAUCAAAGUUACUUACUUAAUUUAGUCUUGAUUUAUAACUACGCAAAUUAACCCUUGAUAUUAUAUCUUGUGCAUUUUAAACUGGUAUGGUAUAAACCAAUGUGAAGAGUGGGUUUUUAUACUAGAAUUGAAAACUAAUAAAGCAUCUAUUUGAAUUGUAUGCAUUUAUUAUUCUAAAUGAUAACUCAUUUAAAGUUGGAGUAGUUCGAUGGAUAUAUAAUUUAUCGGCAAAUGAUUUCCAAUAUCGUUAAAAUGAUAUAUUAGCCGCUAGAGAGAUAAAACCCACUGACCGAAAGAGCAGCUGUGAUGCUCAAUAAGUGAUUAACGGUGGCGGACAUUACUAAUAGGGCAAAUCUCCAAAAUAGCAACUUUCUAAGUUUAUAUCACAAAAAUAGUACUUAAAAACUAAAAUGACCAAAAUAGCAUUUUAUCUUUUGAAAAAUUUAAUUUUUUUUAUUUUUCAAAAUUUGAAAUCUUAUCCCCAAAACUUCACUUCUCAACUCUAAACCCUAAAACCUAAACUCUAAACCCUAAACCCUAAAUUCUAAACCCUAAACCCUACCCCUUGAAUGCUAUUUUUGUGACUUUUGGCCUUGAGUGUUAGUUUGAGAACAAAAACUUGAUUUAGUGCUAUUUUGGUUUUUUUUCUCUUACUAAUACUGUAUGUUCUAAUAUAUUAAAAACCUUAAAGACAUUUAUAAUAGAAGAAAGGAAUAUGACAUCCAUGUCCUUUUCAUUUUGAUGAUUGAUGUACCAUACAUUUGACCAACAUCAAAUAAAUAGUUUGCCAAAGUUGCGAUUAAUACGACUUAAACAAGGUAUUGUAUAUUUUGCCAAAUUUGGGUAGCUUUUGAUUUCUUAAGAGUUACAUGAUCAUUUAAUUUAUAAUUUAUAUAACAAAAAUUUACAACAUGAUCAUUUUUCAAAAAAAAAAAAUAAUAAUAAUAAUAAUAAUAAUAACUGAAACUUCUAAAUAAAAUUUAACUAUCUUUAAUAUAAUUAAUAAUAUAAAUGUUCAUUUUUAUUCUAUAUUAUUCUCUCAAGACUAAAUAUACAAUAAAAUUCUAAAUUAACAAUGUUUGAACUAUAAUAUUUUAAAAUAUAAUUAUUAAUUUGUAAAAAUUGCUGAAUUCAUAUGUUUUAAUAUAUUUUUUGUAAAUUAUGAUGGUAAUUGUUAUUAAGAAGUCAAUUAGAAUAUAUAAAUUAAAUGUUAUGUUGUUUUAUUUUAUUAUUUCAUAUAUAAAUUAUGUAUUUUGUAAAUGUUUUCAAAUGUUAAAUGAUAGAAUAAUACUUUUUGAAUUAUUAAAAUGAUUAAAGAAUGACUGUAAACAAAAAAAAGUUAUAAUCCUUGUAUAUAUAGAGCUGUUUACAUUGGUUUAUAUGUGUUAAAUAAUGACUGUUAUCAUAUUUAUAUGUGUAUUAUAUAUACUAGAGUCUUUGUCCGGGCUACGCCCGGAUAAAUUUCUUGUUAUAAUUUUUAAUUAAUUUUAGCUUGUUUAUUUUUUAUAAAAGCAUGUAUAUAUAUUAUUUCAAAAUUGACUACCAAAAAUAUAAGUAAUAAUAUGCAAAUUAAUUUAUCAUGUUGUCCAACAAAUUUGAAAUAAAUAAACUCAGGGGUUGAUUGGUAAUGGUGGUAAAUGUUUUAGACAUCCACUUUUUUCUAUUUUUUUUCAAACAAUCAUAUUUUAGCUUUUAAAAUUAAAGAUACAGUAUAAAGUUUUUAAAAAAAUAUAUUAGUUUUCAAAAUCAACUUUUCUAAAGAUUUUAUGCUUUGAAAAUAAAUAUAUAGCAAAACAAUUAAAGCCGAAGCAAAACAAUUCACAGCUUAUUUUCUAAAGUAAAAGCAAAAACAAAAACAAAAACUACAGAACAACCAAUCAACCCCACACUCUAAUUUGAUUUUUAUUUAUUAUUAAAAUUAACAGAAAG
Brassica rapa (field mustard) is the source of this 4889-nucleotide long non-coding RNA. RefSeq lists it as uncharacterized. NCBI's taxonomy places the organism in Eukaryota, Viridiplantae, Streptophyta, Magnoliopsida, Brassicales, Brassicaceae. The record is from RefSeq and is a predicted model, not a curated record.